This 26-nucleotide non-coding RNA is filed under the name Rattus norvegicus (Norway rat). The record is from RNAcentral. Lineage: Eukaryota; Metazoa; Chordata; Mammalia; Rodentia; Muridae.
UACACAUGUUGCCUCUAGUGAGCCUU